RNAcentral lists this ribosomal RNA (451 nucleotides) under uncultured bacterium. RNAcentral's name for it is "partial 16S ribosomal RNA". It matches the Rfam family "Bacterial small subunit ribosomal RNA", at positions 29 to 523 of the family's 1533-position model. The record is from RNAcentral.
AACGAACGCUGGCGGCUGGCUUAACACAUGCAAGUCGAACGGUUGUAGCAAUACAGCAGUGGCAGACGGGUGAGUAACACGUGGGAACCUUCCUAGGGGUACGGAACAACUCAGGGAAACUUGAGCUAAUACCGUAUACGUCCGUGAGGAGAAAGAUUUAUCGCCCUUAGACGGGCCCGCGUCGGAUUAGCUAGUUGGUGGGGUAACGGCCUACCAAGGCGACGAUCCGUAGCUGAUCUUAGAGGAUGAUCAGCCACACUGGGACUGAGACACGGCCCAGACUCCUCGGGGAGGGAGCGUGGGGGAAUCUUGGAAAAUGGGCUCAAGCCUUAACCAGCCAUCCCGGGGGAGUGAAGAAGGUCUUCGGAUUGUAAAGCUCUUUGGCAAGGGACGAUAAUGACGGUACCUGGAGAAUAAGCCCCGGCAAACUUCGUGCCAGCAGCCGCGGUAA